Molecule: ribosomal RNA, 543 nt
Filed under: fungal sp. R11
Lineage: Eukaryota; Fungi
Description: eukaryotic LSU rRNA
Rfam family: 5.8S ribosomal RNA (bases 192-345)
Source: RNAcentral
AGGGAUCAUUACAGAGUUAUCAAACUCCCAAACCCAUGUGAACCUACCUCUGUUGCCUCGGCAGGUCGCCGCGGCCUACCCUGUGAGGCCCUACCCUGUAGGGCCCCGCAUAGUGGUCGCGGUCCAGCCUGCCGAAGGCCCAACAAAUUCUGUUUACUAUUGUAUUCUGAAUCUAUAACUAAAUAAGUUAAAACUUUCAACAACGGAUCUCUUGGUUCUGGCAUCGAUGAAGAACGCAGCGAAAUGCGAUAAGUAAUGUGAAUUGCAGAAUUCAGUGAAUCAUCGAAUCUUUGAACGCACAUUGCGCCCAUUAGUAUUCUAGUGGGCAUGCCUGUUCGAGCGUCAUUUCAACCCUUAAGCCCUGUUGCUUAGUGUUGGGAGCCUACGGUCACCCGUAGCUCCUCAAAGUUAGUGGCGGAGUCGGCUCAAGCUCUAGACGUAGUAAAUAUUUAUCUCGCCUAUGGAUGAGUCGGUCCCCUGCCGUAAAACCCCCCAUUUCUAAAGGUUGACCUCGGAUCAGGUAGGAAUACCCGCUGAACUUAA